CUCUAAAACCCUGAGCUCACUCACUUUUUGUGUACACUCCAAAAUGGUGAACGUCGCCGGCGACGACGAUGAUGAUUUCGGUGAUAUCUACGCCGACGUAUUAGUUCAAGCAAGUUCAGCUAUCAAUGCUCUACAGAGUUCAACGAAGGUUCAAACGGAAGUUAAUGAGGUUAACUACAAUGCUGCUGUCGGAAACUGUAAUCGUGAAAAUGCUGUAAGAGGAGAAGAGGAAUGUGAGAGCGAGAGUGGAGAUGACUUGAACAUACUGUUGAAUGAUGAUGAAGGUGAUGAUAAUUUUCUCAAUGCUGGAUGUGAUGAGGAUGAAACUGAGGGAAAUGGAGGUUUUAGUGUUAGUGAUAAAGGAAAUGGUUUAGGACAGAAUUCAAAUGGCAGCGGAAGUGGCGAUGGAGAGAAAAACAGUUACAAGAACACAAGACCACCACAAGCAGCAUACUCAAGUCAUCUCAAAGCCAAUAGAUCUUCUUGUGCGCCUUCUUACUCUACAGCAUUUGUCAAGGGCAAAUGGGAGGAUAAUAGCUACACACAAAGGGUGGGCUCAGGCUUUGCUGCUCAAAAUGGACAGAGCUUCUCACUUCCUCGGUCGAGGAAUAUAUUGGACGUGAAUAUUGAUAUGUUUGAGAAGAAACCUUGGCGGUAUCCAGGCACUGACUUGACAGAUUAUUUUAAUUUUGGCUUUGAUGAAGAUAGUUGGAAACAGUAUUGCAACUGCCUGGAUGAGCACCGAGAUCAAGCAAAAAAGAUAGUCAAAGAUUCAGACUACAAGACUUCGAAAAUUAGUAAGCCAAAAGGUAGAGAAAUAGAGGUGGAAGAGAGCAUGAUUGAGCGCCGACCAUCAACAGAUGUGGGACGUCCACAGUAUCGGGAUUCUGGUGUCGUCAUACAGAUUGCUUUGCAGCAGUCAAUGGAAGAUCCCAUAAGUUCUACAAAAGAGCAGCGGGAAGCAUCUGAGAAUGGAGAUGUUGUUGGGGGAGAUAGAAAGGAGUUUCUCUGUUUCAGUAGUGCCAGCGAAGAUGAGUUAACCAGCUUGGAAGGAAUUGGAGAAGGAUCAGGCAAGUCUACAUCUGGAAGGAUUACACCUGUUUGUGAGCACGUGUCUAUGGGUUCAGAUAACUACGGAAAUUCUGAGUUCUCUGAUGCAGAUGAGCGACACCACCAAGAGGGGACCUACUGUAAUGUUGAUCAAACCUCAGGAGCAAUUAGAUCUUCUCAUGAUGCAAAUAAAAGCAGUGAGAGAGACAUAUCUGAUCCAAGACAACCUAUAAAGUUGCAAGAACCACUGCAUGGUGGAGGCAGAGAGCAUAGCCCAGGUUCAUCUUGUUGUUCUCUAAGUCAUGGUGGCACAUCUGGAGAUGGGACUUUUCUUGACUUAGAGAAAUCUCAUGAUCAUCAUACAAGGUUAUUAUCAAACACAGAAUCUGAGUUACGGGAGAAGGGUACAAUUGAUUACCAGCCAAUUUAUGGAACCAAUCAUAACAGAACAAAGUCUGGUGAUCCUAAAUAUUUUACACGAGGUAGAAGGUCUGUGCAAAGAGAACUGCUGCAUGACAGAAGAAGACCUGGUCGAAUGAGUGGAACAAUUCCUGCUCACCUGAAAGAUGAGGAUUCCCACAAAUCAGAUGCUAGGAUACUGUAUGAAAGGCGUAAUUCAACUGUGAUCCGAUACAGACAGAGAGAUAGACGAUAUGCUUUUGACUCUCAUGAAAGGGAAGAUACUUCACAUUUUAAGAGGGCAGAACCCGUUUACUCUAAUGCAGGACGAUUUUCUGAUUAUCCAUGCCGGGAUUCUUUUACAAAAAAUCCUGAGAUGGAACAUCAGUUAAGAUGUAAAUAUGACAAAAACUGGUCUGGCGGUCGAAGCGUGAAAAGAAAGCUAGAUCCUCUUGAACUAUCAAUUUAUACAGAUGAUGAAUUGUUGGAAAGAGAUAGACCCCAUUAUGGGAGAAGACUCACUGUUCAGGAUAUGGACACCGUUCCUUUUCAUGAAUCGGAACAAUGGUUCGAUAAGUAUAUUUCCUAUUCAGAUGAUGAGAAUCCCAGUCAACGAAUGCGGAAAAUAGAUCAGCUGCCGAGUAAGAAGAGAGUGAGGACUGAUGAUCUUGUAACUGAAUGUAAUUACAUCUACGAUAUCAUGGAAGAGACUGAUAACAGAUAUAGACCAUACAACCACAGGGAUACUAAUAUUCUAGAAGAUGGCUAUCAUGUAAAUUUGACUUAUUUCAGAAGAGAAAUUAAAAGCCCCAGUAGGGGCAAAAGGAGAGAUGUCAGUCCUUGCAAAAGUUCAAAUGAUAUAUGUUUCAUGGAUCUAAAGGAUGAGGAAGGGAGAUUUGAUGGGUAUCGACCUCCAUCCUUUCGUUUGUAUAGAGAAUCUUGUACUUCUAGCAGAAGGUGGCAGAGCCCUGAACUGCCACGUGGCAGACACGGAAUAUUCAGUGGGACUAGGAAAUGUGAUGGUGGUGCUAAUUUGACCAACUCCAUUGGUUCCGAUCAGACGAGCAAGUAUCCUGGUAAUCAGGACAAUUUUAAAAGAAGAAGAGGGGGCCAGCAGUCUGAAGGGAUGCAAUGGGUUGAAGAUGAAAACAGUUCUAGGUAUCAGCAAAAUAUAUUCGAUGCUGAGAGGACGUCAUAUUCGUUCAGAAGAAGUUCAAGUGACCGAAGGUUUAAUUCAUUUGACAAUAAUCAUGGACCCAACCCAGUAGAAAAGCUUUUAGAUGAUAGGCAUGUGGAGCAGGAAAAAUACAAAUUGAUCAGGGAAGGCAAUAAUGCCAGUCAAUUUGGUCAAGGGUCUAAAGUUUUUCAUAAAGAUAAUCAUUGGAGGAGAUUCCCAAGAGGGAGAGAUUCUGUUGACACGGGCUUGAUUGUUGAGAACGGAGAGUCCUCCGGAAGAUGCUCCAAAGCAGGGGGUGUAACAUCCUUUGACAGGUAUAGCCACUUGGAUUCAGAUAGUUAUGUGGAGCUGAAGCCCAUCGAUGGAACUAGCAAACCCCAUUUCAGGAAGACACUCAGAACUCGAAAUGUGACGACUGAUCCUAAAGAAAAUGAUAAAGGAAGGCUUGAUAUAUUCUCAGAUGCCAACCAGGAAGAGUCUCUGGAUAUUGAAGAAGGUCAGAUAAUUGAAGAAAUGAACGAGAAAAUCAUUAAAAAGAGAAUCACAUGUUCUGGCAAAUCACAAAUCAGUGAAAUGAAGAAUUUCGCGUAUGAUAAAAAUGUGGAGGGACAGGACAACAACCCUAGGAUUUUGGAGAUCAUGGCAAAGAUGGAAAAGCGUGGAGAGCGUUUCAAGCAGCCUAUUGCUCUCAAAAGUGAUACAAAGAAUGUCUCUAAGCCUUUGGUUGAUUCGUUUGCUUUGUCAACUGAACCUAUGCAACCAAGACCAGCACGAAAGAGGAGAUGGGCUGCAAGCAAGGCAACUGUUUAAUGCUUGUAUUAGAGAAGGUGCGUCUCACUAUACCUUCAUAACUGGAUUUGUAUAUAGUGGCGUUUGAUUGAAGAAAUGGUUGCUGAUGGUAUAACUGGGGACGGGGUUAAGAAGUUUCCCAUGAAAAGAGGGAAAAAGAAAACACGUCUCAUAAAGAAUACUGUCUGUUUUGUUGCGCUAAAUGCGUUUUUUUUCCUCUGAAGUAUAAUUGAUUAUUUUGAUUUCAAAGGAUGCAAGGCUACCAGUGAUGAUGAAGUAGUGGUUUGGAAGCAACUUUCCUGUUUGAUUAUAUGGAUCUACAAGUUCAAGUUG
Molecule: RNA transcript, 3748 nt
Organism: Solanum tuberosum (potato)
Lineage: Eukaryota; Viridiplantae; Streptophyta; Magnoliopsida; Solanales; Solanaceae
Gene name: FIP1[III]-like protein
Exons: 9
Source: RefSeq, a predicted model, not a curated record